Molecule: ribosomal RNA, 1372 nt
Filed under: uncultured bacterium
Lineage: Bacteria
Description: bacterial SSU rRNA
Rfam family: Bacterial small subunit ribosomal RNA
Source: RNAcentral
GAUGAACGCUGGCGGCGUGCCUAAUACAUGCAAGUCGAGCGAACGGACGAGAAGCUUGCUUCUCUGAUGUUAGCGGCGGACGGGUGAGUAACACGUGGAUAACCUACCUAUAAGACUGGGAUAACUUCGGGAAACCGGAGCUAAUACCGGAUAAUAUUUUGAACCGCAUGGUUCAAAAGUGAAAGACGGUCUUGCUGUCACUUAUAGAUGGAUCCGCGCUGCAUUAGCUAGUUGGUAAGGUAACGGCUUACCAAGGCAACGAUGCAUAGCCGACCUGAGAGGGUGAUCGGCCACACUGGAACUGAGACACGGUCCAGACUCCUACGGGAGGCAGCAGUAGGGAAUCUUCCGCAAUGGGCGAAAGCCUGACGGAGCAACGCCGCGUGAGUGAUGAAGGUCUUCGGAUCGUAAAACUCUGUUAUUAGGGAAGAACAUAUGUGUAAGUAACUGUGCACAUCUUGACGGUACCUAAUCAGAAAGCCACGGCUAACUACGUGCCAGCAGCCGCGGUAAUACGUAGGUGGCAAGCGUUAUCCGGAAUUAUUGGGCGUAAAGCGCGCGUAGGCGGUUUUUUAAGUCUGAUGUGAAAGCCCACGGCUCAACCGUGGAGGGUCAUUGGAAACUGGAAAACUUGAGUGCAGAAGAGGAAAGUGGAAUUCCAUGCGUAGCGGUGAAAUGCGCAGAGAUAUGGAGGAACACCAGUGGCGAAGGCGACUUUCUGGUCUGUAACUGACGCUGAUGUGCGAAAGCGUGGGGAUCAAACAGGAUUAGAUACCCUGGUAGUCCACGCCGUAAACGAUGAGUGCUAAGUGUUAGGGGGUUUCCGCCCCUUAGUGCUGCAGCUAACGCAUUAAGCACUCCGCCUGGGGAGUACGACCGCAAGGUUGAAACUCAAAGGAAUUGACGGGGACCCGCACAAGCGGUGGAGCAUGUGGUUUAAUUCGAAGCAACGCGAAGAACCUUACCAAAUCUUGACAUCCUUUGACAACUCUAGAGAUAGAGCCUUCCCCUUCGGGGGACAAAGUGACAGGUGGUGCAUGGUUGUCGUCAGCUCGUGUCGUGAGAUGUUGGGUUAAGUCCCGCAACGAGCGCAACCCUUAAGCUUAGUUGCCAUCAUUAAGUUGGGCACUCUAAGUUGACUGCCGGUGACAAACCGGAGGAAGGUGGGGAUGACGUCAAAUCAUCAUGCCCCUUAUGAUUUGGGCUACACACGUGCUACAAUGGACAAUACAAAGGGCAGCGAAACCGCGAGGUCAAGCAAAUCCCAUAAAGUUGUUCUCAGUUCGGAUUGUAGUCUGCAACUCGACUACAUGAAGCUGGAAUCGCUAGUAAUCGUAGAUCAGCAUGCUACGGUGAAUACGUUCCCGGGUCU